UUCUCCAAAGAGCAAAGAGUGUUAAGUCCACACGAGUGGUAACGGCUUGCGUUUACCUCGCUUUUAGCAAGCAACGCUUUGCACCCCAGAGGCAGCCCGGCUGGGAAGUGCAGGCCCGGGUGUCCGGGGAACCACCGUGCCCAGCUGGGGCGGCUCACCCGCCCGGAGUCCGGCCCCCGGAGGAUGGGAGCGUGCGCGAACGCAGGCGGAGACCUCGGGGACUGCGGACAGACAACCACAGCCCUGACCUUCCGACGCGCCCAUCCUGACCCCUCUGGGCCCAUCGGUGCAGGAGGGCGCGCGAGUGAGGUGGUUAUCCUUUAGUACUGCCUCGCUGGAAAACCAGCAAAGAAAGUCCUGUUGCCACCUAGACAAUAGGUAAGGAGGGUCUUCCAACGGCGAUGACCUUCGCCUGGACAGCGGUAUCCUGCGGGCGACCUUGGGCCGGGAGGCCAGGGCUCCAAGCUUACCUCGGACACCAACGCUGUGCAAGUCUCCAGGCCAAGCUAUACAAGAAGCAUGGCACCAGCAUCUGCUUCUGGUGAGCAGCUCAGGCUGCUUCCAUUCCUGGUGAAAGGGAAAGGGGAGCUGACUUGUGCAGAGAUCACUUCCAAGAGGGAAAUCGAGAGAGAGGUGGGAGGUACCACGCUCUUUUUAAUGUCCAGUUAUCUUGGGAGCUAACCGAGUAAGAACUCACUGAUACCUACUACCCCCAUCCUCCAUCUCUUCGUGAAAAGUCUGCCCCCAAGAUCCAUACACCUCCCAUUAGGCCCCCCUUUUAACACUGAGGAUCACAUUUCAACAUGAGAUUUGGAGGGGGCAACCAAACCAUGUCAAACUAUAGGAGCGGUAAAUUGACAACAUCUACUUACUCAUUCAAAAGAAAUAGUGGGUAAAAACGUGAGAUGAUCCAUGGAUGUUUCAGCUUUUCUGUCACUGACCCUGCUUACUGAAAAGCAAUAAAUUCCUUCCUAACUUAAAUAAAGUAAUGGCAGAUAUGCCUAAGGCCGCAAAUC
Molecule: long non-coding RNA, 1016 nt
Organism: Mandrillus leucophaeus (drill)
Lineage: Eukaryota; Metazoa; Chordata; Mammalia; Primates; Cercopithecidae
Exons: 2
Source: RefSeq, a predicted model, not a curated record